Fukomys damarensis (Damara mole-rat) is the source of this 646-nucleotide long non-coding RNA. RefSeq lists it as uncharacterized. The record is from RefSeq and is a predicted model, not a curated record. Lineage: Eukaryota; Metazoa; Chordata; Mammalia; Rodentia; Bathyergidae. The transcript is spliced from 3 exons.
CUCUAUGUUCUAGUCACUGAGGACCAGAGACCACAUUGAGGCUUCUGCCCAUUGGUAUUUUGUGUAAGUUCCAGACCUUCUUGCAACUGCAGUAGUGAGAGGAGACAUGGUUGGAGGUCAUGAGAAACCCAAGCGGUUCCGCUCAUGACUUGAAGAGCAGCUCACCUGGGGGCUUGGCUGGUGGAGGCCCUGAUGGAGAGCACAUCUUACAGGUCAAACCUGUGACCCACACCCUGCUUCACGUGUCAGUGGCUAGAGUGGGAUCGUGAUAUUUGGAUGGCCUUAUUAACAACAGGAUGUACCUGAGAUGAGCAGAAACCGGGCUGAUCACCUCAGGCGGCUUCCAGUGGGAGGCUCCGAGAUGACCUCUUCCCAGGAGGCUGUCUCCACUAGCAGGACCGAGCAGACUGCAGUUCAAGGCCAUAAUGUAAACACCCAGGUGCCUGAAGUUGAGCUACGGAACAGGAGGAUCCAGGUGCCUAAAGUUGAGCUACGGGACAGGAGUAUCCAGGUGCCUGAAGUUGAGCUAAAGGACAUGAGUACCCAGGUGCCUGAUGUUAUGGUUGAUGAUGCUACUACCCAGGUGCCUGAGGUUAAGUACCGUGGAAAUCAGACUGAUCAGACUGUUCCAACCACUUCUGGGAAG